RNAcentral lists this long non-coding RNA (1008 nucleotides) under Monodelphis domestica (gray short-tailed opossum). Its description in RNAcentral is "lncRNA (ENSMODG00000037833.1)". The record is from RNAcentral. Lineage: Eukaryota; Metazoa; Chordata; Mammalia; Didelphimorphia; Didelphidae.
AUGAAGAGGCAGCUGCCCGGCCCCGAGGGGCACCCACUGCCGGCCCUCCUGGGUCAGAUCUUCACGACGGCCUUGUGGGUCGGCCCUGCAGCAGGAGCCCCUCUAGAGAAGAGGAAGCCGAGCUUCUGGGGACGAGACGUGCCGGGGAGGUCUCCGAGGCCCAAGCAAGAGCCGCCGCGUCCUUAUUUCUGCGCUCUGCAACGCGUUUUCUCGAUCAGCCUUUUGUGUGUGUCGCAGCGUUCCGCGGCCUCUUCCCGGGGCGCGUGGCAGCGUUCCGCGGCCUCUUCCCGGGCUGUGUCGCAGCGUUCCGCGGCCUCUUCCCGGGGCGCGUGGCAGCGUUCCGUGGCCUCUUCCCGGGCUGUGUCGCAGCGUUCCGCGGCCUCUUCCGGGGGCGCGUGGCAGCGUUCCGCGGCCUCUUCCGGGGGCGCGUGGCAGCGUUCCGCGGCCUCUUCCCGGGCUGUGUCGCAGCGUUCCGUGGCCUCUUCCCGGGGCGCGUGGCAGCAUUCCGCGGCCUCUUCCCGGGCUGUGUCGCAGCGUUCCGCGGCCUCUUCCCGGGGCGCGUGGCAGCAUUCCGCGGCCUCUUCCCGGGCUGUGUCACAGCGUUCCGCGGCCUCUUCCCGGGCUGUGUCGCAGCGUUCCGCGGCCUCUUCCCGGGGCGCGUGGCAGCGUUCCGCGGCCUCUUCCCGGGGCGCGUGGCAGCGUUCCGCGGCCUCUUCCCGGGGCGCGUGGCAGCGUUCCGCGGCCUCUUCCCGGGGCGCGUGGCAGCGUUCCGCGGCCUCUUCCCGGGGCGCGUGGCAGCGUUCCGCGGCCUCUUCCCGGGGCGCGUGGCAGCAUUCCGCGGCCUCUUCCCGGGGCGCGUGGCAGCGUUCCGCGGCCUCUUCCCAGAGGACCAUCUCUUACAAGUGCAGAGGAGGGAAAACGGGGCUCUCCGCAACUUCACUUCGGAGCACCCCAAAGUCUGACACCCUGAACGGUGCCUCGCCUGUUGUCGCCCGCCGGGGCCUCUGA